UGGGGAAUUUUUCGCAAUGGGGGAAACCCUGACGAAGCAACGCCGCGUGGAGGAUGAAGGCCUUCGGGUCGUAAACUCCUGUCGACCGGGAAGAAUGCGCCCGACCUAAUACGUCGAAGCGUUGACUGUACCGGUGGAGGAAGCCACGGCUAACUCUGUGCCAGCAGCCGCGGUAAUACAGAGGUGGCAAGCGUUGUUCGGAAUUACUGGGCGUAAAGGGCGCGUAGGUGGCCCGCCAAGUCCCGUGUGAAAGCCCCCGGCUCAACCGGGGAACGGCGCGGGAAACUAGCAGGCUUGAGUUCGGGAGAGGGAAGCGGAAUUCCGGGUGUAGCGGUGAAAUGCGCAGAUAUCCGGAGGAACACCGGUGGCGAAGGCGGCUUCCUGGACCGACACUGACGCUGAGGCGCGAAAGCUAGGGGAGCAAACGG
This 428-nucleotide ribosomal RNA is filed under the name uncultured bacterium. Its description in RNAcentral is "bacterial SSU rRNA". It matches the Rfam family "Bacterial small subunit ribosomal RNA", at positions 355 to 775 of the family's 1533-position model. The record is from RNAcentral.